GUGGUGAACGCGAUGUUUCCUUGUGCAAAGGCAUCAACAAAAAGACUGGUGGACCUUAAAGAGGCCAUUUAUCGAUUUUUCCAACCCGAAAUUUACUGAUGCGAACAAAGGAAAAUUACCUGGAUGCUGACAUGUAUCACAAAAAACUUCCUGAUCCACACAACAUUCUACUGAUGUAUUCGUAGCAAACAGAAGGUUGGUUCAACAUAUUGCAUAGUAUUCCACUUAAUGCUAUGCAUACUGUGUAUAGCUGUGCUGUUCCCUGGCUUUUUCAUUAUACAUGGAUUGACGGCAAGUUAAAGGUGGAAAUCUCUCUAAAGCAUUAAUGGAUUUAUUGGAAUUGAAGCUGAAGAAAGUGAAAGGAUGUUUGCCAUAUGCCAUCCAGUUAAACAUUUGUACUAAACCAUUCAAGAAAUUUGGAAUUACCUGGUCGUGUGCUGAAAAGCGAAUUUUCCUCCUUUAUGUUGCAAUCGUUAUUCUCAGGCACCCGUUAAUGAAAGCUGAAGCAUACAAAAUUCUGCUUGCUUUUCAGCAUGCCGUAAUGUUGCUUGUUGGCUCUGGGCACAAUUCGAAGGUGCCAAAAGAACCGCUAAGGAAAGUAAGAGAGAAUUAACUGUAUUUAGUUGAGAAGUGUCAAAAGUUGUAUGGCGCUGACUUCCCACGUUAAACGUUUCAUUGCUUGCUGCAUAUUGUCAAUGAUUUGAUUGCAAAUAAUUGUCGACUUGAGUAUUGCUGCAUGUUUUGGUACGAGAAUUCGUUGAAAUUCUUUAUCCAUGUGCUUGAUGGAAGAGACGGACAUCGUGUCCAUGCACAAAUCCGCAACAGUUUGAUGCGGAAAAAGAUUUCAAACAUUCUUCUGCCGCCAAAUUGUCAAAGAAGACGUGCUCUACUAAAAGGUGGAAAAACAGGAGCAGAAACAAGCAUUAUACACCUUUUGAACUUCAAUGAGAAUGAUUUUGGUGUCAUCAACACAAUUUCUACUGACCAUCCAUCAAAUAAAAUUUAUCAAAUGUGAGAGGAAGGAAACAAACCGAGUGCCUAUGAACUCCAAGUAACGCGCCAUAUGAGACGAUUAAUUUUUCGGGAUUUUACGAUCUCCCGAACAAAUACCCGAACAAUGUUGUUCUCGUCAACAGUUCAAUUGGCAAGCCUAAAGUCUGCGUUGUUUCUGACAUGCGAUAUGAUGGUGUAGAAGACAAAUUCAAAGUGACAAUUUCUCCUUUCAAAAAACAAGGAGAUUUCUUUGAAGGAUAUCCGUGCGAUUCAUCAGAUUUCAAUAUUUUUCUCGUUUUUGGAGAUUUAAAUCAUGACAGAAAAACGCGAAGUUAAUGCAGGCUGCAUAAAAAAUCAGUUCGUCUGCCUCUUAUAUGAGAAAGAAGUUACUGACAUUGAUAUCAAUGUUAAAGAACAAAGUCAAUUUAACAUAAAAAUGCACAGUGGGUAUGCACUCCUUUGUUCCAUGUUAUAAAUAGUCAGUAAAUCUAUUUUUCCAUGUAUUUAAUAUAAUAAAGAUAAUAAUAAGGUAAAAA
Non-coding RNA from Hydra vulgaris (swiftwater hydra), 1529 nucleotides. The record is from RefSeq and is a predicted model, not a curated record. Lineage: Eukaryota; Metazoa; Cnidaria; Hydrozoa; Anthoathecata; Hydridae.